CCCGACAUGAUACGCUGCCUGGUGGAUAGCUGGGCUCAGGCGCUGAGGAAGGGCGUGGCAAGCUGCGAUAAGCCCCGGGUAGGCGCAAGCGGCCUUCGAUCCGGGGAUGCCCGAAUGGGAAUCCCACCGCUGGACUUCGGUCCAACGGUGCUCCUUCACGGAGCGGGAACCCCCCGAAGUGAAGCAUCUCAUUAGGGGGAGGAAAAGAAACUAACUAGGAUUCCCCUAGUAGCGGCGAGCGAAAAGGGAACAGCUCAAACCGAAGACCGUGGAGAAAUCCGCGGCCGAUGUGGGGUUGCGGAGCCGACUGCCUCCUAACCGGCGAAGCUGAAGUGGCAUGGAAAGGCCUGCCGGAGAGGGUGAUAGCCCCGUAAGCGUAAGCUGGAAGGAGUUGGGUCGGCUUCCUGAGUAGCAUACCUUGGUUUUGGUAUGCGAAGCUGGGAGAAACCAACUUCCAAAGCUAAAUACGUCCUGAGACCGAUAGCGCACUAGUACGGUGACGGAAAGCUGAAAAGGACCCCGGAAGGGGUGUGAAAAGAGCUUGAAACCAGGCAGCUACACCGCGCACCGGCCUGAAAGGGUGGAUUCCAGCCAAAGGAAUCCGCGGCAACGCGGAGGACGAGGCUGGAGGACCAGGGUCGGGCGUUCCGUCUAGAAACACGGGCCGGGGAGUUCACGGCUGUGGCGAGCUUAAGGCUGUCAACGCCGAAGGCGCAGGGAAACCGACAGGCCUGCAGCCGAGCUUAGGCUCGGUGAGGGGCGAGGUCUGAAAGGGCCUGGAGUCACAGCUGUGAGACUAGAAGCCGGGCGAUCUAGCCCUGGGUAGGGUGAAGCCGGGCGAAAGCCCGGUGGAGGCCCGCAAGGGUGCUGACGUGCAAUUCGCUCCCCUAACCUGGGGCUAGGGGCUAAAGACCAAUCUAGCCCGGAGAUAGCUAGUUCCCUCCGAAGUGGGUCGCAGCCCAGUCCCCCCGGAGGCUGUUGAGGGGGUAGAGCACUGAUUGGGAAGCAAGGGAUCGAAAGGUCCCACUUUCCUUUCAAACUCCGAAUCCCUCAACGUCGGAGAAGGGGGGAAACGGGUUCCAGGGGGUAAGCUCCUGGACCGAGAGGGGGACAACCCAGACUGAGGUUAAGGCCCCCAAAUGCCAGCUAAACGUCAAACCAAAGGGCGUUCUUGGCCUAAAACAGCGGGAAGGUUGGCUUAGAGGCAGCCAUCCUUUAAAGAGUGCGUAACAGCUCACCCGCCGAGGCCAGGAGCCCCGAAAAUGGACGGGGCUAAGCUGGCUGCCGAUACCUCAGGGUGCAACUUAGGUUGCAACCUGGUAGGAGGGCGUCCUGACUGGGGAGAAGUUGAGCUGUGAAGUUCAAUGGACCGGUCAGGAGUGCAGAUCCCGGUGGUAGUAACAGCCAAGAGGGGUGAGAAUCCCCUCCGCCGAAGGGGCCAGGGUUCCCCGGCAACACGUCGUUGGCCGGGGGUAAGCCGGUCCUAAGGUCUAGCUUAACCGCGACAGACCGAAAGGGAAACCGGUUAAUAUUCCGGUGCCUGCAGGAUACCAUGCGGCAACGCAGGCCUAGCCUCUGACACUUCAAGGUAGGGGAAGCAGGGUCGUCGCCCUGUUUAACCGGCCGAGGGCCGGGGAGCGCCGUAAUGGCGAGAACCGGUUCGAGGCGGGAAUAGCCGCCCCCUUUAGGGCGGUUUCCCCGAUCCUUGGAGUCAAUGAAAAGGAGGCUGGGAAAGGGGAUUCCUGCAGACCGUACCGAGAACCGACACUGGUGCCCUAGGUGAGAAGCCUCAGGUGUGUCGGGUGUACUCCGGGGCGAGGGAACUCGGCAAAAUAGCCCCGUAACUUCGGGAUAAGGGGUGCCUGCCGUUUCGGCUUCGGCUGGAACAGCAGGUCGCAGUGACAAGGGGGUCCCGACUGUUUACUAAAAACGUAGGGAGCCGCAAGCCCGAAAGGGUGUGUACGGCUCUUGAAUCCUGGCCAGUGACGGUACCUGAAACUCGGGUACAACCGAGCUAAGGGCCGUUAAACGCCGGGAGUAACUCUGACUCUCGAGCUUAAAGGGAGUCGUUAAACCCGGCUGUAUGCUGGGAAACCGGAACCCAGCGCCCCCGAGAGAGGGAAAAGAGCGUUGGGCGUUGAAGGUGACCAGCAGGGAACCACCCUCCAGAAAGCCACAAAAACUGCGCAUGCAACACCAUAACAGGGCGUGAGAGUCCAUGGUGCUCCAUGAGUUCAGUGACCUAGCCGACGUUAAGGCGCUGCCGAAACGCCGCAAAUACCUAGCCUACUACCUAGCUGGCUUCGCCGACGGUGAAGGCUGCUUUUCAAUCUCAGUCAAAAGGCAGAAUGACACAAAAUUCGGAUGGGUCGUCGACCCUGUCUUCCAUGUGACGCAGCAUAAAGACAACCGGCUGGUGUUGGAGUUGUUUCGGAGAAUGCUGCAAUGCGGUCGAAUAAUAUCGAAGCCGGGCCAGGAGAACCUUCUCCAAUACGUUGUCGACAACAGAAGGCAGCUGAAAGAAAAGGUCAUACCUUUCUUCAGAAAGCAUCGCCUCCUAGCCAAAGCCAAGGCCUUCAGCUUCUUCGCCGAGGUGGUGGAAAACCUUGAAAAGGGAGCUCAUAGAAAAGCGUCGAGUUUCAAAGAGCUCAUAAGAAACGUUUACGAGCACUCCGCCGACCGAAAACAUGAGCUUGACGGUAUACUGAAGGAGAUCGAUGAAAGGGUGGACGCCUCAGAGACCAUACGCCGGGCACCCCAAAGCCAGCCUUCAGCCUAGAAGGUUGGGGUGAAGAUAUGGUCCAGUAUCCCCAUUUCCCAAGAUGGUGGAUGUUGCUUAAGGUAGCCAAAUGCCUUGUCGGGUAAGUUCCGACGUGCAUGAAUGGAACAACGAGGGCCCCGCUGUCCCCGCCCGGAACCCGGUGAAGCCACAUAACUUGGACGAACAGUCCAGGAACUUCCAACGGGGAGAGAAGACCCCGUGGAGCUUUACUGCAGCUUGUCGUUGGGGCAUGGCUCUGGAUGCAGAGCGUAGGCGGGAGCCGUUGACCUUGGCUUCUCCGGGAGCCUUGGGAGGCGCC
The sequence is a ribosomal RNA, 3080 nucleotides long. It matches the Rfam family "Archaeal large subunit ribosomal RNA", at positions 1 to 2267 of the family's 2987-position model.